RNAcentral lists this long non-coding RNA (636 nucleotides) under Malus domestica (apple). RNAcentral's name for it is "long non-coding RNA (MDOM_LNC009005)". Lineage: Eukaryota; Viridiplantae; Streptophyta; Magnoliopsida; Rosales; Rosaceae. The record is from RNAcentral.
ACUACUUUAAGCUUAAUUAGGACAGAUUUUUUGUGCUGUUGAAGUAAUGAGACAAAACACAAUAAUCAGAUCGUACCAAACUUAUAUAUUAUGUAACUGCAAGUUUGUCCAUUAAGAGGAAAAACACCAAAUAUACUAAUCAACUGCAUGCUUGCAGGUUUAUAUAUAAAUCCAAAAUAAGAAUGAAAUCAGAAGCAGAGCCAGCUUGUCAUAGAACAUAUUACUAUUUAUUAAAAAAAAAAACAAACAAAAAUCUGAACUAAUUAGGUAGAAAUGAGAAACAGAAAUGUAAGCAAGUGAUUAUACGCAAUACAUGAGGCAUGUACAUCUUUCUUGUCCUGAAUUCGGUGACGAAAACAUAAUGCAAUUUGGUGGUUCUUGAAUGUCCAGAUAGAAGCGAAAACUUGCACUCUCAUCUCCUGAUCAUCAAAAUGUAUUUUCACACACCUCAAAUCAACAAGUAAUCUUCACAAAAACUAAUACAACCCAAUCAUGUUUUCAAUUCCAAAUUUUUCCAGGCAUUCAAAUGAAAGUGGUGGAAUGAAGAGUAAAAUUAGUACCUUUGCCAGACCCAAAAUGGCCAUAAAGGUCUGAAAAACCACACGCCAAUCAUACGAAAAUAGAAUUGACAAACAA